CAUCGAAAUAAAUUUUAACAAUGAUUUUAACAAUGUUGUAAUCUAAAAUAAAUGAAUAAGUGCUCUUGUUAAGAAAAAAAAUAAAAAUAACAAUUGAAUUAAAAUGAAAAUCAAUUGAAAAUCUUAACAAUUAACCUAAAAUAUAACUAAGUGUUAUAAAUUACUGUAACCUAUAACAAAAUUUAUGAUAUUUAAUUGAAUUGUUUACAAUAUUAUUAAAAAAAAAACAAAAUUAAUAAACAAUAGUACUAAGUAUCUAUUUGUAUUGACAAGUGGCAGUGUUACCAAACUAAUUGAUAAUUUUAUUCUUUAUUUAUAUUGAUUUACGAUAUUAAAAUUAUAUACAAACGUCAGAGCUCAGUGGUGAAGUUAAAAAAAAAUUGUGAUAAAUUUCAUUGUAUUAAAAAAAAUAAAAAAAUAAAAAUUUAUCGUAAAUUAUGUGAUAAUUAGUUUAAAUAAAUAAACAAUAUAUUUAAGUGACAUUUAUGUAAUUUAUUUAAAGCAAAUUUAUGUAUACAUAUUAGGAAAAAAAAUUUUAAAAUAAAAUCAAUCGAAUAAUAUAACAGUUAUUUACUGAAUAUUUUAUUUGAAGUCAAGAAUUAUAUAAAGAGAUAAAAUAUAACAAUAAUUGCUUAAAAUGAAAUUUAAUAUAUUCUCAAGGAAUACUCCAAAAGAAGGAGAAGUUGAAUGUCCAAGCGAUGAUUUGAUUAAACCAAGCGAUAAACCAUUUUUUCGACAAGUUACUAUAGAAGAAGAACCAGAUUCAUUAGACAGUGUCAUAAGUAAUCCACAAUCAUAUCCUAUUACAAUUGUGCCAAGUAGACCUAAAAGUUUUCAUGGUUGUAGCCCAACUUAUUUAAAUGAUAAAAAUAAUUUUAAUAGAAGCCGUAGCUUUCGAAAUAGUUCAAGAAAAUUCCGGAAGCGUGCCAUCUUUAAAAAUGGAGAAUGUAAUGUAAUACAAAAAAAUUUGGAUAAAAAAGGAAUACGUUAUUUACAAGAUAUUUUUACAACACUUGUUGAUUCACAAUGGCGUUGGACUUUGUUAAUAUUUGGAUCAAGUUUUGUUUCAUCUUGGCUCCUAUAUUCAGUAUUAUGGUGGUUAAUAAUGUUAACUCAUGGUGAUCUUGAAGAAAUGCACUUACCAAAUAAUGCAGCUGAAAAUGGUUGGACACCAUGCGUUACACAAAUUUAUUCAUUUACAUCAUGUUUUCUAUUUUCAAUUGAAACACAAACAACAAUCGGUUAUGGUGGUCGAGCAACAACUGAAGAAUGUCCUGAAGCAAUAUUUUUAGUUAUAUUUCAAUCUGUAUGGGGUGUUAUGAUGCAAACAUUUAUGGCUGGAAUUGUUUUUGCUAAAAUGACAAGAUCAAAACAACGUACACAAACAUUAUUAUUUUCAAAAUCAGCUGUUAUAUGUCAGCGUGAUGGUGAAUUAAAUUUAAUGUUUCGUAUUGGUGAUAUGCGUAAAAGUCAUAUUAUUGGUGCAAAUGUACGUGCACAAUUAAUACGUACAAAACAAACAAAAGAAGGUGAAUUAAUGUCACAAUAUCAUACAGAAUUAGAAAUUGGUGCUGAUGAUUGCGGUUCAGAUAUAUUUUUUAUAUGGCCAACAUUAGUUGUACAUAGAAUUAAUGAGGAAUCACCAUUUUAUAAUAUGUCAGCUGCUGAUUUAAUACAAGAUAAAUUUGAAAUUGUUGUUAUAUUAGAAGGUACAGUUGAAUCAACUGGUCAAUCAACACAAGCAAGAUCAAGUUAUUUAAAUAAUGAAAUAUUAUGGGGACAUCGUUUUGAUCCAGUUGUUAGUUAUAAUAAAAAUCGACAAUCAUAUGAAGUUGAUUAUUCGAAAUUUGACGAAACAAUACAAGUUGAUACACCAUUAUGUAGUGCAAGAGAAUUAGCUGAAUUUUAUAAAAUACAAGAUGGUUUUACAACACCAGUUGUUACUGUUACUCCCGCCACAUAAUUAAUAAAAUUUAGUUUGAGAUCCGUCCCCAAUAUGGGACUAUUCUUAGAAAUAUCAACUUAUUUAGAAGAAAGGACUACAUUCGCUUUACGUCAACAGUCAAUAAAUCAAGCCGAAUCUUAGAGAUUCAAUUCCAAAAAAAUAAAUAAAAUAAAUCAUGCUUAUGUGAUACGUCUACAUUAUUUGCAUUAAUAAAAAUCCAAAAAUUUUGUUUUUAUAAUUUAGUUAGAAAGCUUUAAAAAAAUUUUUAGUUUGUUGCUGGCAAUAAAAAUCAUAUUAAGUAAAUAUAAAUAUACUUAUAUACAAUAUAUACAUACAUAUAUGUACAUACAUGUAAUGUAAUAAUUUUAAAAAUUAAUUAAAAAAUUAUAUUCGAAAAAAUAAUUUUAUU
Molecule: RNA transcript, 2354 nt
Organism: Condylostylus longicornis
Lineage: Eukaryota; Metazoa; Arthropoda; Insecta; Diptera; Dolichopodidae
Gene: Irk2
Gene name: G protein-activated inward rectifier potassium channel 3
Exons: 7
Source: RefSeq, a predicted model, not a curated record